GGGGUACUCGAGCGGCGAACGGGUGAGUAACACGUGAGUAAUCUGCCCCUAGCUCUGGGAUAGCUCCGGGAAACCGGGAUUAAUACCAGAUACGACCACAUUAGACAUCUGAUGUGGUGGAAAGGAUUCCGGCUAGGGAUGAGCUCGCGGCCUAUCAGCUUGUUGGUGGGGUAACGGCCUACCAAGGCGACGACGGGUAGCCGGCCUGAGAGGGCGACCGGCCACACUGGGACUGAGACACGGCCCAGACUCCUACGGGAGGCAGCAGUGGGGAAUAUUGCGCAAUGGGCGAAAGCCUGACGCAGCGACGCCGCGUGGGGGAUGAAGGCCUUCGGGUUGUAAACCCCUUUCAGCAGGGACGAAGCGAAAGUGACGGUACCUGCAGAAGAAGCGCCGGCUAACUACGUGCCAGCAGCCGCGGUAAC
Molecule: ribosomal RNA, 425 nt
Filed under: uncultured Actinomycetes bacterium
Lineage: Bacteria; Bacillati; Actinomycetota; Actinomycetes
Description: bacterial SSU rRNA
Rfam family: Bacterial small subunit ribosomal RNA
Source: RNAcentral